AGAGUUUGAUCAUGGCUCAGAAUCAACGCUGGCGGCGUGCCUCAGACAUGCAAGUCGAACGCGAAAGUUCCCUUCGGGGAGCGAGUAGAGUGGCGCACGGGUGAGUAACACGUAGGUAAUCUACCUUUGGAUGGGGGAUAACAACCGGAAACGGUUGCUAAUACCGCAUAAUGCAGCGGCACCUAAUGGUGACAGUUGUUAAAGCGGGGGAUCGAAAGACCUCGCGUCUAAAGAGGAGCCUGCGGCAGAUUAGCUAGUUGGUAAGGUAACGGCUUACCAAGGCGAUGAUCUGUAACCGGCCUGAGAGGGCGGUCGGUCACACUGACACUGACAUACGGGUCAGACUCCUACGGGAGGCAGCAGUCGGGAAUUUUGGGCAAUGGGCGAAAGCCUGACCCAGCAACGCCGCGUGAAGGAUGAAAUCCCUCGGGAUGUAAACUUCGCAAGAACAGGAAGAAUAAGUAAGAGUUAAUAUCUCUUAUGAUGACGGUACUGUUUGUAAGCUCCGGCUAACUCCGUGCCAGCCGCCGCGGUAAUAC
Molecule: ribosomal RNA, 539 nt
Filed under: uncultured bacterium
Lineage: Bacteria
Description: bacterial SSU rRNA
Rfam family: Bacterial small subunit ribosomal RNA
Source: RNAcentral